RNAcentral lists this ribosomal RNA (231 nucleotides) under uncultured bacterium. RNAcentral describes it as "partial 16S ribosomal RNA". It matches the Rfam family "Bacterial small subunit ribosomal RNA", at positions 118 to 347 of the family's 1533-position model. The record is from RNAcentral.
UGGGCAACCUGCCCCUCUCUCUGGGAUAACCCCGGAAAACCGGAGCUAAUACCGGAUACUCCGGCUGGAUCGCAUGGUCCGGCCGGGAAAGGUCCGCCGGAGAGGGAUGGGCCCGCGGCCUAUCAGCUUGUUGGUGGGGUCAUGGCUCACCAAGGCGACGACGGGUAGCUGGUCUGAGAGGGCGACCGGCCACACUGGGACUGAGACACGGCCCAGACUCCUACGGGAGCA